GCUUUUGAGUUCCGGUGAACGGGGUGCUCUGGCUGGAGCCUAGUGCGAAGUUUCCCCUUCUCCGCCCAUUCCUCAUCCCUCAGGGCACACAGGUCACCUUUCCUCGCCUUCUCGUCCCCACCUCUAAGGCUUGGCCAAAGUUUCUUCAUAAAAGCAAGAAAGAUAACGAAAGAGCCCCCCAUGGGUUAUGGUUUUUGUGGGGCCAGGAAUGCCCAGUUUGAACCUCCAGUUCCGCCACCUGUAGCCGAGUGAAAGAGGCUGGGUUAUUCAGACACCCCAAGCCUCAGUUUCCCCACUUGUUGUGAGGCUUGAGUGUGCUAACACAUCAAGGCAACCCAGAACAGCGCUUGGCAGAGACUCGCAGUUUAUCACUGUGAACUGUCGUUAUUGGAAAGUGGGUGGAGUCGGGUUUGGAUUCCCCCAGGAGCAGAGACAGAAACAAAAGGAUUCAAGGGAGACAUGAGACAUCAAUCAAUACAUGUAAGAAGUACACUGGUUCCAUCCAGAAAGA
Molecule: long non-coding RNA, 511 nt
Filed under: Homo sapiens (human)
Lineage: Eukaryota; Metazoa; Chordata; Mammalia; Primates; Hominidae
Description: HSALNT0387511
Source: RNAcentral